ACACUGCUGAGGAGUCCCAUAAUAGGACGAAACAGUCGUCCAAUGC
RNAcentral lists this non-coding RNA (46 nucleotides) under Schistosoma mansoni. The record is from RNAcentral. Lineage: Eukaryota; Metazoa; Platyhelminthes; Trematoda; Strigeidida; Schistosomatidae.